This 441-nucleotide ribosomal RNA is filed under the name Urolophus flavomosaicus (patchwork stingaree). Its description in RNAcentral is "partial 16S ribosomal RNA". It matches the Rfam family "Bacterial large subunit ribosomal RNA", at positions 1948 to 2527 of the family's 2925-position model. Lineage: Eukaryota; Metazoa; Chordata; Chondrichthyes; Myliobatiformes; Urolophidae. The record is from RNAcentral.
GUGCGAAGGUAGCGUAAUCAAUUGUCUUUUAAUUAAAGUCCAGUAUGAAAGGCAUCACGAGAGUUUAUCUGUCUCUAUUUUCCAAUCAAUGAAAUUGAUCCUCUCGUGCAGAAGCGAGAAUAAUAACAUAAGACGAGAAGACCCUAUGGAGCUUUAAACACUUAGGUUAUUCAUUAAAAUUUUACUGCCUUCGGGUAUAAAACUAAAACUAAUUUUUUAACCUGCCUGUUUUUGGUUGGGGCAACCAAGGGGGAAAGAAAAGCCCCCUUAUCGAACGAGUAAUUUAUUACUUAAAAACUAGAACUACUGUUCUAAUUAAUAGAAAUUCUAACGAACAAUGACCCAAAAAUACUAUUUUUUUGAUCAAUGAACCAAGUUACCCUAGGGAUAACAGCGCAAUCCUUUCUUAGAGCCCCCAUCACCGAAAGGGUUUACGACCUC